RNAcentral lists this transfer RNA (76 nucleotides) under Caudoviricetes sp. RNAcentral describes it as "tRNA-Phe". It matches the Rfam family "tRNA". Rfam says of the family: Transfer RNA (tRNA) molecules are approximately 80 nucleotides in length. Their secondary structure includes four short double-helical elements and three loops (D, anti-codon, and T loops). Further hydrogen bonds mediate the characteristic L-shaped molecular structure. tRNAs have two regions of fundamental functional importance: the anti-codon, which is responsible for specific mRNA codon recognition, and the 3' end, to which the tRNAs corresponding amino acid is attached (by aminoacyl-tRNA synthetases). tRNAs cope with the degeneracy of the genetic code in two manners: having more than one tRNA (with a specific anti-codon) for a particular amino acid; and 'wobble' base-pairing, i.e. permitting non-standard base-pairing at the 3rd anti-codon position. The record is from RNAcentral. Lineage: Duplodnaviria; Heunggongvirae; Uroviricota; Caudoviricetes.
AUCGCGGUAGCUCAGUUGGUAGAGCGGCAGGUUGAAGCCCUGCGCGUCGUUGGUUCAAGUCCAGCCCGCGGUGCCA